CCUACGGGAGGCAGCAGUGGGGAAUUUUGGACAAUGGGCGCAAGCCUGAUCCAGCAAUGCCGCGUGCAGGAUGAAGGCCUUCGGGUUGUAAACUGCUUUUGUACGGAACGAAACGGCCCUUUCUAAUACAAGGGGCUAAUGACGGUACCGUAAGAAUAAGCACCGGCUAACUACGUGCCAGCAGCCGCGGUAAUACGUAGGGUGCGAGCGUUAAUCGGAAUUACUGGGCGUAAAGCGUGCGCAGGCGGUUUAUAUAAGACAGAUGUGAAAUCCCCGGGCUCAACCUGGGACCUGCAUUUGUGACUGUAUAGCUAGAGUACGGUAGAGGGGGUAUGGAAUUCCGCGUGUAGCAGUGAAAUGCGUAGAUAUGCGGAGGAACACCGAUGGCGAAGGCAAUCCCCUGGACCUGUACUGACGCUCAUGCACGAAAGCGUGGGGAGCAAACAGGAUUAGAUACCCUGGUAGUCCACGCCCUAAACGAUGUCAACUGGUUAGUUGGGUCUUACACUGACUCAGUAACGAAGCUAACGCGUAGAGUUCGACCGUCGUGGGGUACGUACGGCCGCGAAGGUUGAAACGUCGAAAGUAGUAGUUAGUACGGCGUGAGAGUAGACCGACGGACGACGACGAGGGAGGUUAGG
RNAcentral lists this ribosomal RNA (641 nucleotides) under uncultured bacterium. RNAcentral's name for it is "bacterial SSU rRNA". The stretch from base 1 to 547 matches the Rfam family "Bacterial small subunit ribosomal RNA", at positions 338 to 873 of the family's 1533-position model. The record is from RNAcentral.